Molecule: long non-coding RNA, 680 nt
Filed under: Triticum aestivum (bread wheat)
Lineage: Eukaryota; Viridiplantae; Streptophyta; Magnoliopsida; Poales; Poaceae
Description: long non-coding RNA (TAES_LNC027356)
Source: RNAcentral
CCCCCAGUCAUUGCCUGCUGCAAGCCAGCCAACACGAUCCUUGUUCCAAACAGGUUCGUCAGGCUUCACAUCUGUUGCUUGCUGCACUCUCCCCCAAGAUAAUGUUUGUCACUUAUUGUGUAUGUGUAUGGUACGUCAUGGAGAAAAUGGUAUCCUUGAGAACCCUUCAUGUUGGGAACAUGUGGUUUAGUCAUGAACUCAUGAUCAAUUUCUGGUCCUUAUGUUGAUCAUAGGAGGCACAGUUUUUUAUUCUUUAAAUAGUUAAAUGAUUGUAAGUCCGGGGGGUUGUGCUUUAGCUACAAGCUUCAUUUGUAUGCUCAGUUCUUAAUUGCUUGACAACUCAUGCUGUUCCAUUUCGUUUAAUUCUUUUUGCGAUGAUGCUUUUAUUUUAUGAGUCAGCUAGUCAGGUUAUUGCUUAACGUUUUCUUUUAUAGGCAGCUUAAGGAUUCGGAAGAUGCCAUGCCGUAGCAAGGUUCAAAUGUUUACAUGGAGACUUAGGCACAGAUCUCUCACUUUGUGCACGAACCUGGUUAGAGGGGGAGUACAGAUCGAGGGCACAAAAUGUCUGUUCUGCGGGAGAGCUGAGGAUACGGUGUGCAUCUAUUUAUCAAGUGCUAAUCUGUGAAAGAAGUUUGGCGAGAACUUGAGCUGGAAGCAGUCAGAUCAAAACCGAGAGAAGG